Molecule: ribosomal RNA, 1953 nt
Filed under: human gut metagenome
Description: bacterial LSU rRNA
Rfam family: Bacterial large subunit ribosomal RNA
Source: RNAcentral
UCAAGCAAAAAAGAGCGCAGGGUGGAUGCCUUGGCACUAAGAGCCGAAGAAAGACGUGAUAAGCUGCGAAAAGCUGCGGGGAGGAGCAAAUAUCCACUGAUCCGCAGAUGUCUGAAUGGGGAAACCCGCAUGAGCAUACCUCAUGCAUCCAUACGCCAAUCCAUAACGUAUGGAGGGGAACCGCCUGAACUGAAACAUCUAAGUAGGGCGAGGAAGAGAAAGAAAAUUUAUCGAUUUCCAAAGUAGCGGCGAGCGAAAUGGAAAGAGGCCAAACCGGAGUGCGUGCACUCCGGGGUUCGGACCGCAUUUAAGAUUCAGUGAUUCUAGCAGAAAGGUUUUGGGAAAGCCUGCCGGAGAGGGUGAAAGCCCCGUAAGCGAAAGAGGAACUGACUGAGCGGUAUCCAGAGUACAUCGAGACACGAGAAACCUUGAUGGAAUGAGCGGGGACCACCCCGUAAGCCUAAAUACUCCUUAGUGACCGAUAGCGCAUAGUACUGUGAAGGAAAGGUGAAAAGGACCCCGGGAGGGGAGUGAAAGAGAACCUGAAACCCUGUGUUUACAAGCUGUGGGACAUCUUUACAUGAUGAACCGCGUACUUUUUGUAGAACGGUCCGGCGAGUUGCGGAUGCCGGCAAGGUUAAGCACUUAAGGUGUGGAGCCGAAGGGAAACCAAGUCUGAAGAGGGCGCAUAUAGUCAGUAUCCGCAGACCCGAAACCGGGUGAUCUACCCAUGUCCAGGUUGAAGUUGCCGUAAAAGGCAAUGGAGGACCGAACGCACAUCCGUUGAAAAGGGUGGCGAUGAGGUGUGGGUAGGGGAGAAAUUCCAAUCGAACCCGGAGAUAGCUGGUUCUCCUCGAAAUAGCUUUAGGGCUAGCCUCGUUUUAGUCUUAUGGAGGUAGAGCACUGAAUUUCCGCGGGGGCGUCAAAGCUUACCAAAGAAUAUCAAACUCCGAAUGCCAUGUAGAUGAUGAACGGGAGUCAGACUGCACGAGAUAAGUUGGGCAGUCAAAAGGGAAAGAGCCCAGACCGCCAGCCAAGGUCCCAAAGUGUGUGUUAAGUGGAAAAGGAUGUGGGAUCUCCAAGACAACUAGGAUGUUGGCUCAGAAGCAGCCACACAUUCAAAGAGUGCGUAACAGCUCACUAGUCGAGAGGUCCUGCGCCGAAAAUGUCCGGGGCUGAAACACAACACCGAAGCUGCGGAAUCACGCAAGUGAUUGGUAGAGGAGCAUUCUUAAUACCGACGAAGCUGUACCGGAAGGAGCAGUGGAGGGAUAAGAAGAGAGAAUGCCGGAAUGAGUAGCGAGAGAGAGGUGGGAAUCCUCUCGGCCGAAUAUCCAAGGUUUCCAGAGUAAAGCUGAUCUGCUCUGGGUAAGUCGGGGCCUAAGGCGAGGUCAAAAGACGUAGCCGAUGGACAACAGGUUUAGAUUCCUGUACCGCAUAUAAACAGAACUGUGGGGACGCAUGGGGAGAGCAUGGGCCGGGAAUGGAAAUACCGGUGCAAGCGAAGGAGGUGUGCAGCCGGCAAAUCCGCUGCAUGAGCCGAAAGCGUGACGCGGAGCGAAAUGAAAGUAGCGAAGCAUGUGAGCCCUGUGCCGAGAAAAGCCGCUAUAGCUUUAUAUGUGCCCGUACCGUAAACCGACACAGGUGGAUGAGGAGAGAAUCCUAAGGCCGGCGGAAGAAGUAUUGUUAAGGAACUCGGCAAAAUGACCCCGUAACUUCGGGAGAAGGGGUGCCCACGGGAGUGGGCCGCAGAGAAUAGGCUCAAGCAACUGUUUAGCAAAAACACAGGUCUAUGCGAAACCGAAAGGUGAAGUAUAUGGGCUGACGCCUGCCCGGUGCUGGAAGGUUAAGAGGAGAGGUUAGCGCAAGCGAAGCUUUGAAUUUAAGCCCCAGUAAACGGCGGCCGUAACUAUAACGGUCCUAAGGUAGCGAAAUUCCUUGUCGGGUAAGUUC